Molecule: non-coding RNA, 229 nt
Filed under: Natranaerobius trueperi
Lineage: Bacteria; Bacillati; Bacillota; Clostridia; Natranaerobiales; Natranaerobiaceae
Description: T-box sequence
Rfam family: T-box leader
About the family: Uncharged tRNA acts as the effector for transcription antitermination of genes in the T-box leader family. T-boxes are found upstream of many aminoacyl-tRNA synthetase genes and some amino acid biosynthetic genes usually in Gram-positive bacteria.
Source: RNAcentral
UGAAAAGCGAUGAAGAGGACAGUAUAGUAGUGAAUUCUGGAACCAGAGAAUAUCUGCCAUGGCUGGAAGCAGAUAACACCGGAGACUACUAGAAGACCACCUCGGAGCUUGAGACUGAAGUAAGUAAGUCGUCAGGCAGCCCUGCCUUAUGGGGUAGAGCGAACUAUAUUCUUUUUUUAAGAAUAUAGUUAAGUUGGGUGGAACCGCGAGUAAACCUCUCGUCCCGAUG